CUUGAGCCCAAUAAGUUUGAAUGCGAAAUAUGACUGACUUGAUGAGCUGACAUCUGCCAGCAUAGGAGAGCAUUCUAGCAGACCAGCAAGUAACUUUAGCUGUGAUCUUCUCAAUAAUUGGGAGAUAAUGGCCAACAGAUAGCUUUUUAGAAUCAAGGGGGAUUCCCAGAUAUCUGAAAGGUAGUUUACCUUCAGUGAAUCCCAGUUCUUCCAGAAUCAGAACCUUAUCAUCCAGUGUAGUGCCAGCUAUAUAUAGUGCACUCUUUGACAGAUUAGCUUGCAACCCUGAUGCAUU
Molecule: long non-coding RNA, 295 nt
Filed under: Nicotiana benthamiana
Lineage: Eukaryota; Viridiplantae; Streptophyta; Magnoliopsida; Solanales; Solanaceae
Description: long non-coding RNA (NBEN_LNC008142)
Source: RNAcentral